RNAcentral lists this ribosomal RNA (1250 nucleotides) under metagenome. RNAcentral describes it as "bacterial SSU rRNA". It matches the Rfam family "Bacterial small subunit ribosomal RNA", at positions 243 to 1520 of the family's 1533-position model. The record is from RNAcentral.
AGACAGUUGGCGGGGUAACGGCCCACCAAAUCUACGAUCGGUAGCCGGACUGAGAGGUUGAACGGCCACAUUGGGACUGAGACACGGCCCAAACUCCUACGGGAGGCAGCAGUGGGGAAUAUUGCACAAUGGGGGAAACCCUGAUGCAGCGACGCCGCGUGAGGGAAGAAGGUCUUCGGAUUGUAAACCUCUGUCUUCGGUGACGAAAAUGACGGUAGCCGAGGAGGAAGCCACGGCUAACUACGUGCCAGCAGCCGCGGUAAUACGUAGGUGGCAAGCGUUGUCCGGAAUUACUGGGUGUAAAGGGAGCGUAGGCGGGAAGGCAAGUUGAUUGUCUAAACUAUCGGCUCAACUGAUAGUCGCGAUCAAAACUACUUUUCUUGAGUGAAGUAGAGGUAAGCGGAAUUCCUAGUGUAGCGGUGAAAUGCGUAAAUAUUAGGAGGAACACCAGUGGCGAAGGCGGCUUACUGGGCUUUAACUGACGCUGAGGCUCGAAAGCGUGGGUAGCAAACAGGAUUAGAUACCCUGGUAGUCCACGCUGUAAACGAUGAUUACUAGGUGUGGGGGGACUGACCCCUUCCGUGCCGGAGUUAACACAAUAAGUAAUCCACCUGGGGAGUACGGCCGCAAGGCUGAAACUCAAAGGAAUUGACGGGGGCCCGCACAAGCAGUGGAGUAUGUGGUUUAAUUCGAAGCAACGCGAAGAACCUUACCAGGUCUUGACAUCGUAUGCUAUCUGUAGAAGUACAGAGUUCUCUUCGGAGACGUACAGACAGGUGGUGCAUGGUUGUCGUCAGCUCGUGUCGUGAGAUGUUGGGUUAAGUCCCGCAACGAGCGCAACCCUUAUGUUUAGUUGCUACGCAAGAGCACUCUAGACAGACUGCCGUUGACAAAACGGAGGAAGGUGGGGAUGACGUCAAAUCAUCAUGCCCCUUAUGACCUGGGCUACACACGUACUACAAUGGCCGUCAACAGAGGGCAGCGACACCGCGAGGUGAAGCGAAUCUCCAAAAACGGUCUCAGUUCAGAUUGCAGGCUGCAACCCGCCUGCAUGAAGAUGGAAUUGCUAGUAAUCGCGGAUCAGAAUGCCGCGGUGAAUACGUUCCCGGGCCUUGUACACACCGCCCGUCACACCAUGAGAGUUGGCAACACCCGAAGUCGGUAGGCGAACGCAAGAAGCCGCCGCCGAAGGUGGGGACGAUGAUUGGGGGGAAGUCGAAACAAGGUAGCCGUAUCGGAAGGUGCGGCUG